RNAcentral lists this ribosomal RNA (210 nucleotides) under Glomeromycota sp. RNAcentral describes it as "partial small subunit ribosomal RNA". It matches the Rfam family "Eukaryotic small subunit ribosomal RNA", at positions 457 to 786 of the family's 1831-position model. The record is from RNAcentral. Lineage: Eukaryota; Fungi; Glomeromycota.
AAAUGAGGGGGGCAUUAGCUACAUAGCGUAUAUUAAAGUUGUUGCAGUUAAAAAGCUCGUAGUUGAACCUUGGGUCUGGCUGGCCGGUCCGCCUCACCGCGAGUACUGGUCCGGCUGGACCUUUCCUUCUGGGGAACCUCAUGGCCUUCACUGGCUGUGGGGGGAACCAGGACUUUUACUGUGAAAAAAUUAGAGUGUUUAAAGCAGGCC